AAUAAAGGAAACUCGAACCCGAGACCUCUGGUUAAGAAUGAAAGACAAUAAAGACAGAAUUGUAAAACAUAAUAAAAAAUUCCUUCUUAUUUUUCUAAAAUAUCAAACUAUUUAUAUAUCAGAAGGGGAAAUAGCUGGCUGUCUCAAAACUGCAUAUUCAUUUCUCUAUUGCAAAACAAAUGCCUUUUUUCUAAGGGCACAUACUUUUCUCUACCUAUUACAAACAACAAAACAGUUAAAAUGGGCUCUACUUAUCAGUUCAGUUUAUCCUCUCCAUGCAGUUCCUGGCUUACAAGCAGGCAAGAGUGCCAGAUUCAUGUAGGAGAUAGUGGAAGGACGACAACUUUUAUUUCUUAUGUUUUUUCUAUCCUGCAUAAAUGAAAACGAUAAUCAGUUAAUUUAUGACGGGAAAAUACCGAUAACUACAGAAGGAAGGAAUAACGUUAGCAAAACUUCUUCAAAGUGAACUCAAAUGCAAACAAAAGUGUAAUCCCACAAGUAGGGUCUGGAGAGGGUAGGAUGUACGCAGACCUUACCCUUACCUUUGUCGGGGUAGAGAGAUUGUUUCCAAUAGAUCCUCGCCUCAUAUGCAAGCACAUCCAUAGAAUGCAUAUGAGUAAUUAACACUAGUUUCCCCGUGAAAUUAUGGUCCGUAGGGAAAUGGUUUAUUCACGAAGGUGGGGCUAGAAUACAACUCCAAGCUGAGGUCUUUUUUUCCUUUAUAAUAUGACAGGGGAAAGAACAAAGGUUUAUUGACAACGAUUACCCUAUAAAAAUACAAUACAGAAAAGUAUAUCUAAAAAGGAAGUACCAGAACUUUGCCUGCUCUUGCUUUCUUGAAGCCAGAGGGAAUUCUAAGAAGAUGUUACUGACUAAUUUCACAGACUUCCUCUGUCCUUUAAAGAAAUCUACCGUUUGCUCUUUUCUUGGAGUGGGUGAAGAUGGGGGAGGGAUGAUCCCUUUUGGGAAGUUCGAUUUACAGUUGACUGAAACUAUCAACCACAAACUCCUAUAGGUAAAGAUCUUGCAUUAGGCAUAUAAGCCCCAAACGGAUUGUCCUUCCAUUCCUUUUGUUCACUAAAUACUGUUCACUCUGGAAAGAAAGGUUCCUCAUUCUAAACAAUACUUUCCAAUCACAUAAGAAGAUAAAUGUACUACACAAACCACUUCUAUAUAGUUCCAAGUUCAAUUUAUCAAAUCAUAACUUCAUGCAUAUUUAUCGAUCCACUCAAUAUAGACAACUGUGUACAAUUCUAUCUCAGUUUCAUGCCUAGUGAAGUUAUAAAAUCUGCGUGGAGUUUAUCUACCUGAUGCAAGAGCUCAUAUGGUCAUUGUUUAUGUCACUAACAUCUAUAGGAUAUGUCACGGUUCAUAAUUGAAGACAGAGAAGGCACUACCAACUUGUCUUAAGACUGACCAGAGACACAGGCCUUUUUAGUUUAAUACUCUAGUUUGCCUCAAGUAUUACAUCAUAUAGAACGCUGCUUAGCGCUAACGACAGUGGGAAUGCCAGGGACUUAAGGUGACAGAUAUAAGAUAUCCACGCAUAAACCUCGUAUUAGACUGUAGACUACAAAACAAGAAGGAGCACCGUGCUUCCAAAGUGGAUUCUAGCAUCUUAUAUAGAAAGCUUAUGUCUAGAAUACAAUCAUUUAACAUUUGCCUAACCCAAAAUCUCAAUCAGUUCACAGAAGAAUCUUGACAUCUCCACAGAGAGGUCAAAAGCAAAAUCCAUCCAGAGUAUUUGAACAAGCUCGUAAAGAAAUUGUACGGUUCAAAGAUGUACCCAAGGUGUAUACAACAAUACCAGCGUUCUCUUCUCCAUUUACUACUAAACAACCUUCAGUCACUUUGUUAAAACAUGACAAGUUCCCUAUCAAUAUCACAUCCUAAUCUAUCUCUCCCUACAUACUAGCAAUCACAUAGGGGCAACCUAUAACCGAAUAAAUAUCGGGUACAAAGGCAGCAUGAGUUCAACUCUAAGAUGAAUAUGGCCAAAGAAAUGAUAUGUGCAAAGAAGAGAACUCAUAGAAUUUCACACCCUUCAUUUACAACAAAUGAUAAACUCAACACCUUAAAGGGUACUUUGCAUCACCCUGAUCCAAAUUUCGGUCCACAAGCACUAUACAUGAAGCUUAUCCAUUAAAAAAAUAGGAUUCUAGAUCAAAUUUACCUUCGUUUUAUAAUCUAUCAAAUGAUUUAGAGUACUCAAUGAAUAUUUCCUAGCAUUUAUUCAUUAGUUCGCCACCAAAAUUAGAGUAUGAUAGAAUCAUGAAAUCAAGGCCUUUCAUAUCUUCAAACAAAGUGUUGCUGCUCAUCUUCAUAAUGAGAAAGUAUAAUUGUACAAACAACAACAAUAAAAACAUCUUAGACCAAAACUAUUUGGAGUAAGCUAUUCCUCAUUAAUCAUUCCAUUAAAGUCUAAAUCCUAAAUGAAUUCUCAAUAACCAUUCAUAUAAAUAAUCCCACAAAAACACAAUUGUGAUUCUUCCCAUAUGUCUUAGUCUUGUCCGUCUUGGUGGAUAGAGUUAUCUGGUUCCUAUGCAAUUAGUGCAUGGGCGCGAAAGUUGGCUUGAACACUACGAUACUAAAUCCCACAAAUUAAUAGAAACCUAUUCUGAAUUAUACUGACCAUUCUCAAUUGGACUAAAUUUUGAAGCUAACUUGAAGUAAAGGAAAGAACUUUUUACCAAGAAAAGUAAAAUUUGGAAGACCCAAAUAAGAAAAAUUCAGAAAUCUUCAUACCUAAAUCCAUAAAGGGGUUUCAAGAAAGUUGCUUUGCAUUCUGAUAGAAAGCAGCAGAGCAUAAAAUUGAAGCAAUAAAAGCGAAAAUUCCCAACCCAAUCAUUAGGGAAAAUCCAGCUACAACCAAGUCCAUCAAACAUUGCAAGCUUAUUCCCAUCACCAACAUCUUUUUUCUCUCAAAAUAUCCUUAAUUCUUUCAGCAAAACAAUGGGUAAUUUUGCUAUUUAUAGAGUGAAAAUAUAGAUGGGUAAGAAUGGGUCUUUUGGCACCCCGAGAAGGAAGAGGCAGACCCCUGUAACUGUAUCAACUCAAUGCAAAGACAACAAAGCAUGUGACGCAUAAUUGCAGAAAACGCAUCGGGAAGAUUGACAAGGGAUUAGCAAUUCACCCCUCCCUCCUCCGUGUUCAUUUUUUUAUUAGAAUAAAUAUAAAAUUAGAAAAAUUAUUUAAAUUAAAAUUAUUUUUAAUUAAAAAAUAUAAUAUUUUCUAUCAGAUAUACUUAAAAAAAGAAAGUAUA
Molecule: long non-coding RNA, 3262 nt
Filed under: Solanum tuberosum (potato)
Lineage: Eukaryota; Viridiplantae; Streptophyta; Magnoliopsida; Solanales; Solanaceae
Description: long non-coding RNA (STUB_LNC000131)
Source: RNAcentral